UUUCUGGGUGUUUUGAUCCUGACAUCACCAAACUCUCAAAUUUGCUGAAUUGGGGAUCUUGCCUGUAUGACCCAUGAAAUGUCCCAAAAGCUGAUUGAUGCCUUUGUGCUCCUGUUGUGUUCAUUUGGGCUGUGCUUCAGGCUUCUCUCCCUGGGCUCUUGCAGUUGCUGUAUCUCUUGGAUGCCGUGCAAAAUGGAAUCAGGCAGCCAAACCUCAGGUUCACCUUCUCCCUGACCCUCUAUGUUGCUCGUGUGGCACAGCAGAUCCUGAAGCCAAGUACUGGAACUUGCUGUGUGUGUCACUGCUGGGGUGAAAAACAGAGCCUUGAGGAGUGUUGAUCUCCUCACCUGCUUUGUGCUCAUUCACUCUUGACUGAGCUUUUCCUUCUAGGGAAGAGAAGGGGAAGGUGGGCAGCAAACGAAUGAGCCUCAGAGCAAAGGCCUUCUGCAGUUGCUGGGCUGUUCUCCCGGCUUGGAGCACUGCACACUCACUACAGCUUCCACGUAUGGUUGUCCGUGGUUGUGGAUUGGGAGCACUGUCCUCCUCCACCAUGCCAGCUUUUUCUCUUCACAGAGGAGCACAUGUACAUAAGGGCAAACAGAUUCCUUCUGUCACACUAGUAUUUGGACUGAGGAAGGUACCAGGUUUUUUCCAGCUUUUCCACAGUUCUGAUUUUGAGAAAACAGAGUGUGAGUGGAUCCUCAGAUUUCUUGAAGAAAGGCUGUGUAACAAACAUUGCUAUGAGCUUUAUGACUACCAGAGGAUUUUCCGGGUCAUUUUUUACUUUUUCAACAGUCCUUUGUGUGACGAGGGCUCCCAGGACUAAUGUAGAUCUGGCCAAGCUGACUUGAGUUGUUUGGCACCCUCAGCUCUGUGCUGGAAUACCGUGCUGUUGUUGUGGAGGCUUUUAGGGAGAUGAGGCGUUUCACAGUCAACAACAGCGUCCUCUCCAGCAGGGAGCUGCUGCUGCACAAGUGGAGCCUUGUCAGCAAAGACCUGCAGCUGCAGGAGACCUGCAGGCCCUGGCUCAGAAGUACCGAAACAAAGAAUUGCUCAAAUUAAAGAAAAGAACAAAUCUCAAGCCUCAUCUCAUGUGUAUCAUCACACUUGGAAACGAACAAGGUGGAAGAAGAUGACACUGCUGCAGACGUGGAAAUGUCUGAGCUGGAGAAGUGCAGAGAACAUCUGAAUUCCAUACUUGCCCAUUGGGACUGUGAUAAAUGGAUGUGAUUUGUGCUGAAUAAGUUGUACUUAUAUCAAUAAUUUGGGAAAAUAAUUGGAAAAGUAUAUGUGAUCAGUGUUAAGAAGCAGAUGGGUUUCUUCAAGAAUACAUGUGGAAAGUAGGAUGCAGGAGCUGGAUUCAGCCUUGGGAAUGGAGGAAGUCAGGAACUGACUCCCAAACCAAAACUGGCAUCAACUGUAGUUAAAAAAUAACUCCCAGAGCAGGAUCGACCUUGAAUAUUAAUGAAAUUGGGACCAUUCCAGAUAGGGAACCUAAAAUAGUGGUCUUAUCUAUGAAGUAAUAAGGCUCAAUUGGAACAUAAUGCAUCAAGCUCAAUGUGCAUGCGCAACCUGCCAGGUCAUUCAGAGGACAGGGAGGAAGACCUUCGGCCUUCCUCCAGGAAGACCUCCGAAGAGACCAGAACAGCCCCUAGCAACAGUAGGAGCAUGCGCUGUGCAGUAGAGUGACAAAGAUUUCAAGAAACGAAAAUAGGAGGAACUAUUGAUGAGUAUGUAUUAGCAUACCAUAUAAAAGUUGUGCUUGGAUUCUUUUGCCCUUUGUACGGGUGGCAGGGUGGAAAGCCCUCCCUGUUUCGCUUAUGCUUUAUCCGAACCAUUGCCAAAUAACUCUUUGUAACCACUUUGUUGUAUUUGAUUGUACCCCAAUUAAAAAUUGCCGCUAAA
Vidua macroura (Pin-tailed whydah) is the source of this 1905-nucleotide long non-coding RNA. RefSeq lists it as uncharacterized. NCBI's taxonomy places the organism in Eukaryota, Metazoa, Chordata, Aves, Passeriformes, Viduidae. The record is from RefSeq and is a predicted model, not a curated record. The transcript has 4 exons.